This 383-nucleotide ribosomal RNA is filed under the name uncultured Methanosarcinales archaeon. RNAcentral describes it as "bacterial SSU rRNA". It matches the Rfam family "Archaeal small subunit ribosomal RNA", at positions 1058 to 1441 of the family's 1478-position model. The record is from RNAcentral. Lineage: Archaea; Methanobacteriati; Methanobacteriota; Methanomicrobia; Methanosarcinales.
CCCCNGUUGCCNGCAUAUCCUUNGGGAUGAUGGGUACUCUGUGGGGACCGCCGCUGCUAAAGCGGAGGAAGGUGCGGGCUACGGUAGGUCAGUAUGCCCCGAAUCUCCAGGGCUACACGCGGGCUACAAUGGCCGGGACAAUGGGUCCCUACCCCGAAAGGGGUUGGUAAUCUCAUAAACCCGGCCUUAGUUCGAAUUGAGGGCUGUAACUCGCCCUCAUGAAGCUGGAAUCCGUAGUAAUCGCGUUUCAAUAUAGCGCGGUGAAUACGUCCCUGCUCCUUGCACACACCGCCCGUCAAACCACCCGAGUGAGGUAUGGGUGAGGGUAUGGACCAGUGCCGUAUUCGAACCUAAAUUUCGCAAGGGGGGUUAAGUCGUAACAA